RNAcentral lists this ribosomal RNA (793 nucleotides) under uncultured bacterium. Its description in RNAcentral is "bacterial SSU rRNA". It matches the Rfam family "Bacterial small subunit ribosomal RNA", at positions 8 to 796 of the family's 1533-position model. The record is from RNAcentral.
AGAGUUUGAUCCUGGCUCAGGAUGAACGCUAGCGGCAGGCUUAACACAUGCAAGUCGAGGGGCAACAGGGGCAGCAAUGCUUGCUGGCGACCGGCGCACGGGUGAGUAACGCGUAUGCAACCUGCCCAUAACAGGGGGAUAGCUCCCGGAAACGGAAAUUAACACCCCAUAGUAUUCCAUUGCCGCAUGGCAUAGGGAUUAAAACUACGGUGGUUAUGGAUGGGCAUGCGUGCCAUUAGCUAGUUGGCGGGGUAACGGCCCACCAAGGCUACGAUGGCUAGGGGGUCUAAAAGGAUGAUCCCCCACACUGGUACUGAGACACGGACCAGACUCCUACGGGAGGCAGCAGUGAGGAAUAUUGGUCAAUGGGCGAGAGCCUGAACCAGCCAUGCCGCGUGCGGGAAGACGGCCCUAUGGGUUGUAAACUGCUUUUUUAUGGGAAGAAAAAGCCCUACGUGUAGGGCACUGACGGUACCAUAUGAAUAAGCAUCGGCUAACUCCGUGCCAGCAGCCGCGGUAAUACGGAGGAUGCGAGCGUUAUCCGGAUUUAUUAGGUUUAAAGGGUGUGUAGGCGGACGAUUAAGUCAGUGGUGAAAUCUCACAGCUCAACUGUGAAACUGCCAUUGAUACUGGUUGUCUUGAGUACAGUUGAAGUAGGCGGAAUGUGUAAUGUAGCGGUGAAAUGCUUAGAUAUUACACAGAACACCGAUUGCGAAGGCAGCUUACUAAGCUGUUACUGACGCUGAUGCACGAAAGCGUGGGGAGCGAACAGGAUUAGAUACCCUGGUAGUCC